AUGCACGCUGGCGGCGUGCCUCAUCCCUGCAAGUCGAGCGAACAGACGAGGAGCUUGCUCCUCUGACGUUAGCGGCGGACGGGUGAGUAACACGUGGAUAACCUACCUAUAAGACUGGGAUAACUUCGGGAAACCGGAGCUAAUACCGGAUAAUAUAUUGAACCGCAUGGUUCAAUAGUGAAAGACGGUUUUGCUGUCACUUAUAGAUGGAUCCGCGCCGCAUUAGCUAGUUGGUAAGGUAACGGCUUACCAAGGCAACGAUGCGUAGCCGACCUGAGAGGGUGAUCGGCCACACUGGAACUGAGACACGGUCCAGACUCCUACGGGAGGCAGCAGUAGGGAAUCUUCCGCAAUGGGCGAAAGCCUGACGGAGCAACGCCGCGUGAGUGAUGAAGGUCUUCGGAUCGUAAAACUCUGUUAUUAGGGAAGAACAAAUGUGUAAGUAACUAUGCACGUCUUGACGGUACCUAAUCAGAAAGCCACGGCUAGCUACGUG
RNAcentral lists this ribosomal RNA (496 nucleotides) under uncultured bacterium. RNAcentral's name for it is "partial 16S ribosomal RNA". It matches the Rfam family "Bacterial small subunit ribosomal RNA", at positions 29 to 507 of the family's 1533-position model. The record is from RNAcentral.